Molecule: ribosomal RNA, 253 nt
Filed under: uncultured bacterium
Lineage: Bacteria
Description: partial 16S ribosomal RNA
Rfam family: Bacterial small subunit ribosomal RNA
Source: RNAcentral
UACGGAGGGUGCAAGCGUUGUUCGGAAUCACUGGGCGUAAAGGGCGUGUAGGCGGUCCGCUAAGUCUGAUGUGAAAGCCCGAGGCUUACCCUCGGAAGUGCAUUGGAGACUGGCGGACUGGAGUCCCGGAGAGGAGGGUGGAAUUCCUGGUGUAGCGGUGAAAUGCGUAGAUAUCAGGAGGAACACCGGUGGCGAAGGCGGCCCUCUGGGACGGUACUGACGCUGAGACGCGAAAGCGUGGGGAGCGAACAGG